GGGGCCAUAGCUCAGCUGGGAGAGCGCUACGCUGGCAGCGUAGAGGUCAGGGGUUCGAGCCCCCCUUGGCUCCA
RNAcentral lists this transfer RNA (74 nucleotides) under Bacillus subtilis. RNAcentral describes it as "tRNA-Ala". It matches the Rfam family "tRNA". From Rfam's summary of the family: Transfer RNA (tRNA) molecules are approximately 80 nucleotides in length. Their secondary structure includes four short double-helical elements and three loops (D, anti-codon, and T loops). Lineage: Bacteria; Bacillati; Bacillota; Bacilli; Caryophanales; Bacillaceae. The record is from RNAcentral.